UGGUGUGGGAGGGGUUAAAACGUCUGGUGUGGGAGGGGUUAAAAUGUCUGGUGUGGGAGGGGUUAAAAUGUCUGGUGUUUGUGGGGGGCUAUAGCCUCCUGAAGUUGGUGGAGAGUUGUAGUAGCCACCGCCACUUGGAGGAGUUGAGGGUGUUGAUGGCCGGGAUGGAGUUCCAGGGUCAUGUGAUGGAGUUGGGUUGUGAUAUGGUGGGGUGCCACAGUUGGAAGGUGGUGAUGAUGGUGUUGGGUGGUGGCUUCUAUGAGAGGGGGGUCUGUGAGAGUCACCAUGUGAUGGUGGAUUGGAAGGAGUACUGUGUGG
RNAcentral lists this long non-coding RNA (318 nucleotides) under Prunus persica (peach). RNAcentral describes it as "long non-coding RNA (PPER_LNC003760)". The record is from RNAcentral. Lineage: Eukaryota; Viridiplantae; Streptophyta; Magnoliopsida; Rosales; Rosaceae.